GAAUUUAGCUCAGUGGUAGAGCGCUCGCCUAGCAAGCACAAGGCCCUGGGUUCGAUCCCCAGUUCA
This 66-nucleotide transfer RNA is filed under the name Rattus norvegicus (Norway rat). It matches the Rfam family "tRNA". From Rfam's summary of the family: Transfer RNA (tRNA) molecules are approximately 80 nucleotides in length. Their secondary structure includes four short double-helical elements and three loops (D, anti-codon, and T loops). The record is from Rfam by way of RNAcentral. Lineage: Eukaryota; Metazoa; Chordata; Mammalia; Rodentia; Muridae.